AAAUGAUGAGCCCAAUUAGAUGACGAGUCUGAAGAGUCGUUCAAUGUCGAAAAAACUUUUUUAAUACCAUUCAUGCCUUUCUGAAA
RNAcentral lists this small nucleolar RNA (86 nucleotides) under Mucor lusitanicus CBS 277.49. Lineage: Eukaryota; Fungi; Mucoromycota; Mucoromycetes; Mucorales; Mucoraceae. The record is from RNAcentral.